GAUGGGGGAGAGACACUAAAAAGGGCUUCACAGCACGAGCAAUCAGGAUCAACUUGUGGUGAGAAUCACUGGGAGUCUGCGGAUUGACGCACGUUCAGACGCUCUUCGGUAUCUGCGCAUUGAUCUUCAAUCCCAAAGACCGCAUCUGUUCUGCCUAUCCUUAAUCAUCAGGACAUUCGCAUGGUGUACUGCAAAUUUCUUACAGUUUUUGUGAGUUUCCUGCUCGCCUCAACAAGAGCUUGUGAAUUGAUCAUAAAAUGUGGAUUUUCUUUGCAAUUUUGAGUAUUGCCAUAAUCAUGGCUGCUGAUCCGCAGGAAGAAAGAGCUUGGACUACAAUUUACAAUCCCACUAAUUGGGGUGAUUGAUAAUUGCUAUUUGAAUUUGAAAAUAAAUCUAUUUGAUUAGUAUUAUUUUCAAAAAUUUUCUUUUUCUGUCGUGAGUUCAGAUUUGAUGCCCAAGAAGAGAGACUGUAACUCUUCUCUGCCAGGAGGAAGAAUAAAAACAAUCACUGUGUGUAUUUCAUUAUAUUUUAUUUGUCGUUUUCGCUGGUUUUUUUUAAAUAAAAUAAUUCAAUGGGAUAAACAAGAAAAUGAGAGAUGAAGAAGAGCUAACUUAGGCCAUCAAUAAAUAACUUAUUCGUACUGGUAGUGCGUCUUCUGGGCCUGAGGCUGCUUGUAAGACGCCGCUCCGGAGUAC
Phlebotomus argentipes is the source of this 696-nucleotide long non-coding RNA. RefSeq lists it as uncharacterized. NCBI's taxonomy places the organism in Eukaryota, Metazoa, Arthropoda, Insecta, Diptera, Psychodidae. The transcript has 4 exons. The record is from RefSeq and is a predicted model, not a curated record.